This 493-nucleotide ribosomal RNA is filed under the name uncultured bacterium. Its description in RNAcentral is "bacterial SSU rRNA". It matches the Rfam family "Bacterial small subunit ribosomal RNA", at positions 903 to 1397 of the family's 1533-position model. The record is from RNAcentral.
AAAGGAAUAGACGGGGGCCCGCACAAGCGGAGGAGCAUGUGGCUCAAUUCGAUGCAACGCGAAGAACCUUACCCAGACUUGACAUGUAACUGCACGCCCGGUGAAAGCCGGGUUCCUUCGAGGGUGUUACACAGGUGCUGCAUGGCUGUCGUCAGUUCGUGCCGUGAGGUGUUUGGUUAAGUCCACCAACGAACGCAACCCUUGUGUUCAGUUGCCAGCGGGUCAUGCCGGGAACUCUGAACAGACUGCCCAUUUACAUGGGAGGAAGGUGGGGAUGACGUCAAGUCAGUAUGGCCCUUACGUCUGGGGCUGCACACGUGCUACAAUGGCCGGUACAGAGGGACGCCAAGCCGCAAGGUGGAGCAAAUCCCCAAAACCGGCCCCAGUUCGGAUUGCGGUCUGCAACUCGACCGCAUGAAGUCGGAUUCGCUAGUAACGGCGUAUCAGCUACGACGCCGUGAAUACGUUCCCGGGCCUUGUACACACCGCCCGU